UGUGUCCUACGGGAGGCAGCAGUGGGGGAUACUGCACAAUGGGGGAAACCCUGAUGCAGCGACGCCGCGUGUGGGAAGACGGUCCUCUGGAUUGUAAACCACUGUCCCCAGGGACGAAGAUGACGGUACCUGGGGAGGAAGCUCCGGCUAACUACGUGCCAGCAGCCGCGGUAAUACGUAGGGGGCAAGCGUUAUCCGGAUUUACUGGGUGUAAAGGGAGCGUAGACGGCAUGGCAAGUCAGAUGUGAAAGCCCGGGGCUCAACCCCGGGACUGCAUUUGAAACUGUCAGGCUGGAGUGCAGGAG
RNAcentral lists this ribosomal RNA (305 nucleotides) under uncultured bacterium. RNAcentral's name for it is "bacterial SSU rRNA". It matches the Rfam family "Bacterial small subunit ribosomal RNA", at positions 333 to 654 of the family's 1533-position model. The record is from RNAcentral.